This 497-nucleotide ribosomal RNA is filed under the name uncultured bacterium. Its description in RNAcentral is "partial 16S ribosomal RNA". It matches the Rfam family "Bacterial small subunit ribosomal RNA", at positions 28 to 507 of the family's 1533-position model. The record is from RNAcentral.
GAUGAACGCUGGCGGCGUGCCUAAUACAUGCAAGUCGAGCGAACGGACGAGAAGCUUGCUUCUCUGAUGUUAGCGGCGGACGGGUGAGUAACACGUGGAUAACCUACCUAUAAGUCUGGGAUAACUUCGGGAAACCGGAGCUAAUACCGGAUAAUAUUUUGAACUGCAUGGUUCAAAAGUGAAAGACGGUCUUGCUGUCACUUAUAGAUGGAUCCGCGCUGCAUUAGCUAGUUGGUAAGGUAACGGCUUACCAAGGCAACGAUGCAUAGCCGACCUGAGAGGGUGAUCGGCCACACUGGAACUGAGACACGGUCCAGACUCCUACGGGAGGCAGCAGUAGGGAAUCUUCCGCAAUGGGCGAAAGCCUGACGGAGCAACGCCGCGUGAGUGAUGAAGGUCUUCGGAUCGUAAAACUCUGUUAUUAGGGAAGAACAUAUGUGUAAGUAACUGUGCACAUCUUGACGGUACCUAAUCAGAAAGCCACGGCUAACUACGUG